GCUGGGUUUGGGGAGGCGACGUUUCUGGAAGCUGCUGGAAAGCGCCCGAGUGGCGGAGGUGGCGCCAGCGGCCAGGGGGUGGGGCGUGAUUAAAACUAGUGCGCGGCUUUCUGCGGAGGGAUUACGCUGACGAAAGAGACCUGCUUGCGCGUCGCUGUUCCGUGGUCCGCGCGAGCGUGGUCGGGAGCCGCUGGUUCCUGGGGUGACCCGCGGAGGUGGGAGAGGGAAGGGCUUCCGAAGCCGGCGGGGGUGCCAUGGACCCUCUCCGCCGGCGCGGCCUUCACAGCUGGGCCGCGCCGGGCAUCCGUAGUCCGCUCUCCCAAAGCCUCGGUGGAGCUGAAGCUGCCACAGAGUGCAUGUUCACAAAGGGUCAUCACACACGGAGCUGCCCCUCCCUGUCUCCCUAGAGCCCAUCUUCGAGGCCAGGGGCUUUUCUACCAGGAUUCUGGGGUGUUUCUCCUCCUUUCCUCCCUCCCAGAUCUUCUCACGGUAACACAUUCAUUCACGUGGUUCAAAAUUCAAAAGGUACAAAAGGAUACUCAGUCAUUUUCUGCCUAGGAAGCAACCAGUGCUACCAGUUUCUGGUAUAUUUUUCAGAAAAAUUUUACACAUAUCUUUAUUAAAGAGCAUUGUGCAAUGAAGACCUUUCUACGUACAUCAUUCUCCACAUAUGUGAAUAUAUUUGUGCCCUAGCCAAUGGUACGGCUGGGUCCUGUCUACUUUGACUUAUGUGUUCUCCAUGCCAGUAUUGUAUAGUGGAGUCAACACCCUGUUGACUCUAAAGUAAGCAUAUGAGAUAAAUCACAUCACCUGAAUGGCUGUUUUUUCAUGUGAGCCCUGAGAGCAU
This 847-nucleotide long non-coding RNA is filed under the name Homo sapiens (human). RNAcentral describes it as "HSALNT0372481". The record is from RNAcentral. Lineage: Eukaryota; Metazoa; Chordata; Mammalia; Primates; Hominidae.